Non-coding RNA from Podarcis lilfordi (Lilford's wall lizard), 67 nucleotides. Lineage: Eukaryota; Metazoa; Chordata; Lepidosauria; Squamata; Lacertidae. The record is from the annotation of a GenBank genome assembly.
GCGCUCAAUUGGUUAGAGCGAGGUGCUGAUAACGCCAGGGUUGCAGGUUCGAUCCCCAUAGGGGACG